CCUACGGAGGCCGCAGUCGGGAAUCUUCCGCAAUGGGCGAAAGCCUGACGGAGCAACGCCGCGUGAGUGAAGAAGGAUUUCGGUUCGUAAAGCUCUGUUGUUAGGGAAGAAUGAUUGUGUAGUAACUAUACACAGUAGAGACGGUACCUAACCAGAAAGCCACGGCUAACUACGUGCCAGCAGCCGCGGUAAUACGUAGGUGGCAAGCGUUGUCCGGAAUUAUUGGGCGUAAAGCGCGCGCAGGUGGUUUAAUAAGUCUGAUGUGAAAGCCCACGGCUCAACCGUGGAGGGUCAUUGGAAACUGUUAAACUUGAGUGCAUGAGAGAAAGGUGGAAUUCCUAGUGUAGCGGUGAAAUGCGUAGAGAUUAGGAGGAACACCAGUGGCGAAGGCGGCUUUUUGGCCUGUAACUGACGCUGAGGCGCGAAAGCGUGGGGAGCAAACAGGAUUAGAUACCCCUGUAGUC
This 464-nucleotide ribosomal RNA is filed under the name uncultured Staphylococcaceae bacterium. RNAcentral's name for it is "bacterial SSU rRNA". It matches the Rfam family "Bacterial small subunit ribosomal RNA", at positions 338 to 795 of the family's 1533-position model. The record is from RNAcentral. Lineage: Bacteria; Bacillati; Bacillota; Bacilli; Caryophanales; Staphylococcaceae.